GUUGGAGAUGAAGUCACUUUGCCUUGUGAAAAUGUGAUAGACGGUCAGCAAGACUGUGAAAAUACUACAUGGACCUUCAAGGGUUCAGUAAGCAGAUCAGCAGUAGCCCUGUUUGAACUUGGGCAGAUUGGUGAAAACGCUAAAUCUAAAUCAGACAGACUGAGUGUUACAGAGAACUGUUCUCUGGUUAUAAAGAAGGUCACAGUCGAGGAUGUUGGUCGUUACAGUUGCAGACAGUACAAACAAAAAGAAGGACAACAUCAAGGUCCAGACUCUCAUGUUUAUCUGUCUGUUAUUAUCAUGACUGAACGUAAGGACGCUGAUGAGGUGAAGUUAAACUGCUCUGUGUUGACGCGUGAACAGUUCUGUAGACACACAGUGAAGUGGCUGUAUGAGGGUAAAGAUGUGGACAAAGAUAACAAAGACUUGAAGACAUCACAGCCUGUCUGCUACGCCACUGUGUCUUUCCUGGAUUCUCAUUUUGUUAACAAAUCAAAGUCUAACUUGACGUGUGAAGUGACAGAUGGUUACUCUGGAAAAGUGCAGCUGUUCACCUUCAGCCCUCAGUCCUCAGGUGAGAAAACAGGUGAGAAUAUGCUGAGCUGUUAAAACCACCAAAACAUUUGUUUAUUUGAUGACAGCAGAUGGUAAACACGAGGUAUUUAUUAACUGAACAGUUUCUUGGGUUGUGUUAUUUAAUUCAUGCAAGUGACGCAAAAACAACAACAACUGAAAAUACAAAAUCAACAACCAAUGACACUUCACCAGAACUACAAGGUAGUAACUCAUCUUUCUCUGGAGUCUCUCUGUCUUCCUGUCAGCCUCUUUCUCUCCACAUACUGAACUUCAUUAAUCUACUUUUUAUUUUAUUCAUUGUCUAAUUAUUUUUUACAUGUUUCUACUUUCUGCCUUUUUGAUGGCAAAACAUAAAAUAAUCAAAGCCUCUUUAAUUAAGUCACUUUCUAGAAAGACAAAACUGACCAUUCAUUGUAUAAAACAGAAAAUAGGAAGUGAUCGAGAAAAUUAUUAUUGAUUAUUGAUUGUAUCUCUCUCCUCUUUUGAAGUCUAAAGUCUGAAUGUCAGAGCGACACUUGGCUGUGGAGAUAUUUUCUUAUUCAGUCAGUCUCAGUCAAAAGUCUUCACACAACACAAAAUAACAAAAUAAGAUGUUGUUCUCUUUCCAGAUCAGAGGUGGUUCAUAAUUGUGUUUGUGGGAGUUGCAGCACUCUUAAUAACUGUUGUUAUUGUUGUUGCUCUGGUCAGAUGGAAGAAAACUAAAGGAAAAAAACCCCAGAUGGAUGAAAACACUG
This is a long non-coding RNA of Micropterus salmoides (largemouth bass), 1310 nucleotides long. RefSeq lists it as uncharacterized. The transcript has 3 exons. The record is from RefSeq and is a predicted model, not a curated record. NCBI's taxonomy places the organism in Eukaryota, Metazoa, Chordata, Actinopteri, Centrarchiformes, Centrarchidae.